UAAUAAUGGUUUAUUGGUUUAAUUCGGUUUACAAAAUAAAAUGAAUUAACCAAAUAUAUAUUUGUUUUAUAAAUUUAAUCAGUUUACAAUAAAACAGAUUUACAAAACUAAACCAAAUCUAGUUAACAAUAAAAUUUAAUUAAAAAAUAUAACCUAACCCUAAACCUAACUAAUGUCACUGCCGCCGCCUCCCUCCACCGAGAGUACAUCACGAGAGCUCCAGCACACCGGAGCUUGAACCUUCUCCACGCCGCCAUCGUGGUCGUCUCGCUGAAGCUCCGUCUCAUCCAUCUUCUUCGAGAUCUACCGCCGAAGCGACCAAACUCGUCGCCUUCCCCUCUUCUUCUUCUACCUAUUCCUCGGACCUAUGCACCACCACCAAACAUCAUCUUCUCCGUCUCAUCUACCUUUGUUUACCAGAAAAAAAAAAUAAAAACGAAAUCAAAACAGAGAGAGAGACAGACACAGAAAGAGAGAGAGAAGGGAGAUAGAGAGAUACUCCGGCGCGUCUUCUUCUCCGGUGAGCUUCGGCGCUUCGUCCCAGCGAGUCUCUGUCUUCGUCGUCUACAUUAUCAUCUCCAUCCUUUCUCAGUUGACCAUAUCUGAAAAGUGAGACAUGAGAGACACUACAAGAAAACAGCAAGGAUACUGAGGGAAAAAAUCAUCGGAAUUUCAUCGGAAUAACGUUAUUCCGACGACAUACCGACGAAACAAGUCCUCGGAAAUAAUUCCUCGGAAUUUCUUCUUUCCUCGGAAAUCCCUCGGAAUUUUCCGACGGAAUUCCGAGGAAACAAAUUUCCGAGGAAAUUCCGAGGAUCACUAGUUUGUCGGAAAUCUCCUCGGAAUAUACCGAGGGAGAACUUCGUCGGGAUAUUUCCUCGGAAGUUCAUCGAUCGAUGCGUUUUUGGACAUAUAUCCAUCGAUCGAUGGAUAUAUGUCCGAAAACGCAUCGAUCGAUCACUAAGAUGGACCAAAGCGUAACAAUGUGAUCGAUCGAUUAGAUUAUCCCAUCAAUGGAUCGAAUAAAAUCUCGGGAGCCUUUUUUUAAACGCAUCGAUCGAUCCGUAUUUGUACAAAAACGCAUCGAUCGAUGCGUGUGCGGGAAACAGAAUUAUAAGGCAAAACCCGAACUUUUUGGAUCAAAACCUCAGAACUCUCAUCCCCUAUGAUUUCCCCUAUAAUUCGACCCCCCCCCUUUCUAUCUCUCUAUAAUCAUCCGAUUUGAACAAUUUUGGGCUCUAUUCCNNNNNNNNNNNNNNNNNNNNGUUGGUAUUCUUCCGUAAGCAAUCUCGUGUUCGGAUCCAAAUGAGGUCGAUCGAUCCAAGAACGAAAAUAAUUUGAAGAAGACAUAUUUUUUAUGAAUCAAAUUCGUGUGUAAAUAGAGUAAGAGGGAGGAUGAAGAUAUGGAGUGAUGAAGAGGAAGAGGACUGCUUGUAUUUAUAGUUUAAAUCCUGCCGACAGACCGAGAAAAUUCCGACGGAAUUCCGACGCCAACGGCUAGUUCGUCGGAAUUUCCUCGGAAUUUUGUAAAAUCCUCCAACGGCUCUCCAACGGCUAUAAUAUUUCCUCGGAAUUCAUCGGUUUUUUCCGAGGAACACAUUUUUCCUCGGAAUUUUCUCGGAAUAUUCCGACGGAUUGAUAUUUCCUCGGAAUUCCGUCGGUAUAUUCCGAGGAAACCAAAUUUUGUGUUAUUUCCUCGGAAAUUCCUCGGAAUAUUCCGAAGAUUUCAUUUUCUGUCGGAAUGUCCGUCAGAAUACCGCUGUUUUCUUGUAGUGAGAGUUGGUGA
RNAcentral lists this long non-coding RNA (1786 nucleotides) under Brassica napus (rape). RNAcentral's name for it is "long non-coding RNA (BNAP_LNC012165)". The record is from RNAcentral. Lineage: Eukaryota; Viridiplantae; Streptophyta; Magnoliopsida; Brassicales; Brassicaceae.